Molecule: non-coding RNA, 87 nt
Organism: Dactylonectria estremocensis
Lineage: Eukaryota; Fungi; Ascomycota; Sordariomycetes; Hypocreales; Nectriaceae
Source: the annotation of a GenBank genome assembly
GGCAAGAUGGCCGAGUGGUUAAGGCGGCAGGUUUAAGAAUUAUCCCUGCUGGAGCAAUCCUCCUGGGUUCGAACCCCAGUCUUGUCA